CCUACGGGAGGCAGCAGUGGGGAAUCUUGCGCAAUGGGCGAAAGCCUGACGCAGCCAUGCCGCGUGAAUGAUGAAGGUCUUAGGAUUGUAAAAUUCUUUCACCGGGGACGAUAAUGACGGUACCCGGAGAAGAAGCCCCGGCUAACUUCGUGCCAGCAGCCGCGGUAAUACGAAGGGGGCUAGCGUUGCUCGGAAUUACUGGGCGUAAAGGGAGCGUAGGCGGAUAGUUUAGUCAGAGGUGAAAGCCCAGGGCUCAACCUUGGAAUUGCCUUUGAUACUGGCUAUCUUGAGUGUGGGAGAGGUAUGUGGAACUCCGAGUGUAGAGGUGAAAUUCGUAGAUAUUCGGAAGAACACCAGUGGCGAAGGCGACAUACUGGCCCAUUACUGACGCUGAGGCUCGAAAGCGUGGGGAGCAAACAGGAUUAGAUACCCUGGUAGUCCACGCUGUAAACGAUGAGUGCUAGUUGUCGGCAGGCAUGCUGUCGGUGACGCAGCUACGCAUAGUCGACGUCCGCCGUGGGGAGGUACGGUCGCGAAGAAGUUAAACGUACGUAAGUUAAGUUAGUACGGCGUUGAGACGUUGCCGACGGACGACGACGAGGGAGGAGG
RNAcentral lists this ribosomal RNA (609 nucleotides) under uncultured bacterium. RNAcentral's name for it is "bacterial SSU rRNA". The stretch from base 1 to 516 matches the Rfam family "Bacterial small subunit ribosomal RNA", at positions 338 to 873 of the family's 1533-position model. The record is from RNAcentral.